UACGUAGGGACCAAGCGUUGUUCGGAUUCACUGGGCGUAAAGGGUGCGUAGGUGGUGAGGUAAGUCGGAUGUGAAAUCUCCAAGCUCAACUUGGAAAUGGCAUUGGAAACUACCUUGCUGGAGGUUUGGAGGGGGGACUGGAAUUCUCGGUGUAGCAGUGAAAUGCGUAGAUAUCGAGAGGAACACCAGUGGCGAAGGCGAGUCCCUGGACAAAACCUGACACUGAGGCACGAAAGCUAGGGGAGCAAACAGG
RNAcentral lists this ribosomal RNA (253 nucleotides) under uncultured bacterium. RNAcentral describes it as "partial 16S ribosomal RNA". It matches the Rfam family "Bacterial small subunit ribosomal RNA", at positions 524 to 776 of the family's 1533-position model. The record is from RNAcentral.